Molecule: ribosomal RNA, 1131 nt
Filed under: Bacillus pumilus
Lineage: Bacteria; Bacillati; Bacillota; Bacilli; Caryophanales; Bacillaceae
Description: bacterial SSU rRNA
Rfam family: Bacterial small subunit ribosomal RNA
Source: RNAcentral
UAAUACAUGCAAGUCGAGCGGACAGAAGGGAGCUUGCUCCCGGAUGUUAGCGGCGGACGGGUGAGUAACACGUGGGUAACCUGCCUGUAAGACUGGGAUAACUCCGGGAAACCGGAGCUAAUACCGGAUAGUUCCUUGAACCGCAUGGUUCAAGGAUGAAAGACGGUUUCGGCUGUCACUUACAGAUGGACCCGCGGCGCAUUAGCUAGUUGGUGGGGUAAUGGCUCACCAAGGCGACGAUGCGUAGCCGUCCUGAGAGGGUGAUCGGCCACACUGGGACUGAGACACGGCCCAGACUCCUACGGGAGGCAGCAGUAGGGAAUCUUCCGCAAUGGACGAAAGUCUGACGGAGCAACGCCGCGUGAGUGAUGAAGGUUUUCGGAUCGUAAAGCUCUGUUGUUAGGGAAGAACAAGUGCGAGAGUAACUGCUCGCACCUUGACGGUACCUAACCAGAAAGCCACGGCUAACUACGUGCCAGCAGCCGCGGUAAUACGUAGGUGGCAAGCGUUGUCCGGAAUUAUUGGGCGUAAAGGGCUCGCAGGCGGUUUCUUAAGUCUGAUGUGAAAGCCCCCGGCUCAACCGGGGAGGGUCAUUGGAAACUGGGAAACUUGAGUGCAGAAGAGGAGAGUGGAAUUCCACGUGUAGCGGUGAAAUGCGUAGAGAUGUGGAGGAACACCAGUGGCGAAGGCGACUCUCUGGUCUGUAACUGACGCUGAGGAGCGAAAGCGUGGGGAGCGAACAGGAUUAGAUACCCUGGUAGUCCACGCCGUAAACGAUGAUUGCUAAGUGUUAGGGGGUUUCCGCCCCUUAGUGCUGCAGCUAACGCAUUAAGCACUCCGCCUGGGGAGUACGGUCGCAAGACUGAAACUCAAAGGAAUUGACGGGGGCCCGCACAAGCGGUGGAGCAUGUGGUUUAAUUCAAAGCAACGCGAAGAACCUUACCAGGUCUUGACAUCCUCUGACAACCCUAGAGAUAGGGCUUUCCCUUCGGGGACAGAGUGACAGGUGGUGCAUGGUUGUCGUCAGCUCGUGUCGUGAGAUGUUGGGUUAAGUCCCGCAACGAGCGCAACCCUUGAUCUUAGUUGCCAGCAUUUAGUUGGGCACUCUAAGGUGACUGCCGGUGACAAACC